GAGUCUGAGAGGACAUGGCGGUCGGUAAACAGGACUUAAUUCUGUUCCUCAUCCACCCAGAACCCUCCCUGAGGGCCUCCCCUGCACUUUGGAAACAGCCCAAGCUUUGAAAUCAGGAAGUUUGAAGACUGGUUCUGCUACUUCCAGGCUGUGUGGCCUUGGCGAAGAUGUUUUUGCUGUGUUGCCUGGGCUGGUCUCAAACUCUUGGCCUCAAGUCAUCCUCCCACCUCAGCCUCCUGAGUACGAGGGAUUACAAGCAUGAGCCACCACACCCAGCUUCUUUAAAAAGAAAAAAAAAUUUUUUAUUGACAUAUAAGCAUUGUAUAUAUUUAAGGUCUACAACUUGACACUUGAGGGAUUAAAGAGAGGAUUAUAAAAGAUGUUACCAGCCAAAUACCCUUGAAGCUUGAAAUCAACCCACAAUGUCCAAAGGAGGAGUUCAGUGAGGAGCUAAAGAAGAGGAAUUAGCGCUUCUUUAACCUGUCUUUUGCAUUUAUAUUGUCCUUGUGAUAUUUUUUGGUGUAUAGAUGAUUUUCUUUCUUAUGGAGUUAAAUCUUCUUUUGUUUGUUUGAGAUGGAGUCUUACUCUGUUGCCCAGGCUGGAGUGCAGUGGUGCAAUCUCAGCUCACUGCAACCUCCAAACUCUCGGGUUCAAGCGAUUCUCCUGCCUCAGCUCCUGAGUAGCUGGGACUACAGGUGCACACCACCAUGCCCGGCAAAUUUUUGUAGUUGUAGUAGAGAUGAGGUUUCACCAUGUUGGCCAGGCUGGUCUCGAACUCCUGACCUCAGGCUAUCCACCAGCCUCGGCCUCCCAAAGUGCUGGGAUUACAGGCAUGAGCCACUGCGCCUGGUCACUUAUGGAAUUAAAUCUUUUUGGAUGGUGUGGUAUAUUGUAUUUUCCAAGGGUGGCUGCACGAAUAUAUAUUCCACUCUAGAUUCUUUUCUUAGAAUGUGACCUUAGCAGGCCUCAUUAAGAGGUAGAGUUUGUGUUCCCUCCCCUUGAACUUGGGUGGAACUUUGUAACUGCCUCAACCAAUAGAAUGUGGCAGAAGUGACAUCCGAGGCUCAGUCCUAGAAAGCAACGUGGUUCUGGGGGACUCUCUUGCUUUCUCUUGGGAUGCUUCUUCUCUGAACCCAGCCACCAUAUUGUGAGGAAGUCCAGGCCACACGGAGAAGCUAGAUGUGGAUGUUCUGACCAAGAGCCCCAGCUAGAUUCCCAGACAAUCACCAGACAGGUAAGCAAGGAGGGCUUGGGGCUUGUGAUGUAACUGACAUCUUGAAACGAUCAUUGUGGCUUCUGGAGACUUGAUUGUGGGGAAGGGAACUGCAGACCAGGAGUGGAAGCAGGGAGACCAGAGAGGACUCUGUAGAGUGUCCAGGAGAGAGAUGAUGUGGUUUGGAUUAAGGUUAAACCCGUGGCAUAGGUGAAAAGUGCUCCUAUAUGGGAAAUGUUUUGAAGAUGGAGGGCACAGGACUUGCUGAUGGACUGAAUGGAGGGUGAGGGAAAGAGAGAACUUACUGACAAUGUCUAGAUUUCUGGCCUGGGCAAUUGGGUAUCAGAUAAGUGAUGAAAUCACUUACUGAGAUGAGGAUGCCUGAGAGAUGAGCAGCUUAAGAUCAGCUUCACCUGAGCAAGUUCUGUGAGAAGCUUCUUAAAUCUCCGUCUCUACUAAAAAUACAAAACUUGGGCCGGGCACGGUGGCUUACGCCUAUAAUCCCAGCACUUUGGGAGGCCAAGGCGGGUGGAUCACGAGGUCAGGAGAUCGAGACCAUCCUAGCUAACACGGUGAAACCCUGUCUCUACUGAAAGUACAGAAAAUUAGCCGGGCGCGGUCAUGGGCACCUGUAGUCCCAGCUACUCGGGAGGCUGAGGCAGGAGAAUGGUGUGAACCCAAGAGGCGGAGCUUGCAGUGAGCCAAGAUCGUGCCACUGCACUCCAGCCUGGGUGACAGAGCGAGACUCUGUCUCAAAAAAAAAAAAAAAUACAAAACUUAGCUGGACAUGGUGGCGCAUGCCUGUAGUCCCAGCCAGUUGGGAGGGUAAGGCAGGAGAAUUGCUUGAACUGGGGAGGCAGUGGUUGCAGUGAGCCGAGAUCGCGCCACUGCACUCCAGCUUGGUGACAGAGUGAGACUCCGUCUCAAAAAAAAAAAAAAAACAACCCCAAACUUAGCUUAAACCAGCUAUUUCAUUUGCCCACCAGUUUGGUGGGCUGGGAAUCCAGGGCAGGGCACAGAAGAAAUGGUUAGUCUCUACUCCACAGUUUCUGGGACUUUAGCUUGGAAGACUCAAGGAUUGGAGGCAACAUGAGAGCUGGGACUGGAAUCAUCUGGAAGCAUCUUUACCCACAGAUAUGGCUGGUUAUUCACUGGAACCUCAGCACAGGCUGUCAACUGGGAUACUUACAGUGCCCUCCCCAUGAGGGUUGGGCUUCCUUCCAGUAUGGCAGCCUUUGGGAGUUGGACGACUUACAUGGCAGCUUUCCUAACCUAGCCUUGGAAGUCACAUAGCAUCAUCUCUACCCCCUUCUGUUGGUGACAAGAGAGUCACAAGUCUGCCUAGAUUGAAGACCCCUUCUCUCUGUGGAAGGAGUGUGGAGGUCAUAUUGGAGAAGAGCUUAUAGAAUGGGAGAUACUGUUGGGACCAACUCUGGAAGACAGAAUCUGUCACAGCUCAUAGAGCCUUGUCAUUGGAUGAGAUACUUAGGAAGCGAGUGUAGACAGGAGAAGUCCUGGACUGGCCUGGGGACACUCAACAUUUGGAGACUGAGAGGAGGAGGGUCAGUGGGCAGAGGGAAACCUGGAGCAAAAGACACUUCUUGCAGUGACUGCUACUUCCUGCUGAAGUUCCUUAGGGAAUGGGGUCAGGAUAGGUUCCUCUCUCCUUUCCCCAUUGUGUGUAUAUGUGUCUGUGUGGUAAAAUAUACAUAGCAUGACAUUUACCAUCUUAGCAAUUUUUUAUUUUAUUUUGUGAGACAGAGUCUCACUCUGUCGCCCAGGCUGGAGUGCAGUGGUGCAAUCUCAGCUCACUGCAACCUCCGCCUCCUGGGUUCAAACGAUUCUCCUGCCUCAGCCUCCUGAGUAGCUGGGACUAGCUAAUUAGCCACCACACCUAGCUAAUUUUUAUAUUUUUAGUAGAGACAGGGUUUCACCAUGUUCGCCAGGCUGGUCUCAAAUUCCUGACCUCAGGUGAUCUGCACACCUCAGCCUCCCAAAGUGCUGGGAUUAUAGGAGUGAGUCCCUGAGCCCGCCACCAUCUUAGCAAUUUUUAAGGUACAGUUAGUUGAGUGGCAUUAAGUACAUUCACAUUGUUGUGCAACCAUCACUACCACCCAUCUCCAUAGCUCUUUUCAUCUUGUAAAACUGAAAUUGUACGUUAAACACUAACUCCCCUUCCCUCCUCCCCCCAGCCCCUGGCUACCACCACUCUGUCUCUAUGAUUCUGAUGACUCUAAGUACCUCAUACAAGUGGAAUCACAGUGUAUUUGUCUUUCCAUGACUGGCUUACUUCACUUAGCAUAAUGUCCUCAAGACAGGACAGGUCUUGCCUCAGCUGCAAGCUGGUGCCAGAACCAGCCAUCCCUGGUUCUGGGACGUCCAUGGGCAUGGCCUGGGGGCUCACUUGAGCAAAAUUCCAUGGCCCCACGAAGACAACCAGAGUCCCCCGUACCUCUCCAUCCCGCACAGGCUCAGUCUUCCAAAACACUGCGGUGUGGGAGGGGGUUGCCUCAGUCCAGUCAAAACCCAUUUUUUUAGAAAACCAUUUAUGCCGCUUCUUUAAGAGCUAAAGAAUCCUCCAAUUUACUCAACUCUAAAAAAAACCUUAACACCCAAACAGUAGCAUCUGGACAUAAAUUUAACUAGAUUUCAGAGUUUUCUCUAAGAAUAGUUGGUGAAUGUUGCUUUACGUCUUGGAGAAUUUCCUAAACUAAGAGAGUCCAAAGAUAAGGAUUAUUUCACUUCCAGGAAACAAAACUGCCAUUUAGGUCCCUAAAUGGCAGAUCCCAGGUAACAGUACAAAACAAGUCUCUCUUUACAAAGCCCCUGCUAUUGUAGUUAAAAUAAACAGUCCAUGUGUUAGAGUUGGAAAUUCUAUUGUUAUAUAGAUAUCUUGCUGAAAUGGGUUCUGACCCCUACAAAGAGUUCUCAAGAAUGAAACACGUGAUGUUCCUUUAAUGUUGUUUUUGCUCAUGCAAAUGACAUCCUAUUACACCCACGGAUGCUUAACUACUAAGUUAAAACAACUACAUGGCAAUUUUGAUCACUCCAGAGUCCCCUCACUGUUUUGUGGUUUUAUGUAAUUCGCAUAUUGUGUACAAAAAGACUUGACCUGGAGCCGGCAGCAAGAAAUGUGUAAUUAGAAACACUUCCCGAGGAAAUUAGGUGACAAGUGAAGGCUUGAGGAUUUCCGAGGGAGCCUGGAGCUGCAGAUAUUCAUUAUGGGUACUUAAGAGGCACAGCUGCCUCUGCUGAAAACCAUGUCAAAUGCCGUCCGCUGGAUGCCAGCGUGGAGGCCAGCCCAGAGCCAGAGAUGGUGGCUAUGGCAACACGCUACUCCAUUUUUAAACUUUUCAUUACCUAAAAGGAAAUUGCUUAGGCUGUUUUUCUUUUUUUCCUUUUUCUCCCUACCAAUUUCAGAGUUUGUACCAGCAGUGAAUAGCCUCCAGGUCUAACAUUUCCUGGGUAAUGAGUGACUAGCUGGGUGAAGUGCUUUUGGCCUUACCUCCAGCCUUGGCAACUCCAGCCAGUUAUUAAUUGCUGCACCGGGAAACACUUUCCAAUCAAGCUAUUAUUUAAUCAAAAUAAAAGAAAACGAACUAUUAUUGCUGUCAACAGCAAUGAGCAACUCUCCGCAGGAGUCUAAAUGGGAACUGUGGAGGUUUUCACUGGAAGAAGUGUUCCUCUGGGGGUCAGAUAAGCAGGGCAACGUGAAGUUGCGUGGAGUACCCUUGGGAACUGGUUCUUGUGGGAGGAGAGAAUGUUGAACCAGCAGGAAGACGCAGAGAGAUUACACACACCCUGUCCUAGAUCUCAGUCAUUCAUGGUCAGUUAACCUGUAACCUUGCUGUUAAGCCAGUGCCCCAAAUGCUUCUGUGGGAGUGUCUGCAGGGGAAAAGACAGUCCAUAGAAGCAUUUGGGCUGCUUCUAUAAGCAAUAAAUAGUAAAACCUGUAACCACCAUAAUAACCACACUUCCUGAGUACCCCCAAUGUGCCAGGCAGGCACUGUGCCCCCAGGUUUAUACUCAGAUCUCAAGAGUUCCCCACAUUGCCACUGUGGGGAGAGUAUAGUCACGAUCCCUCUUUCACAGGGACACUGAGUCCGAGAGAGAUGAACUUGGCCAAGACCCACCACACCCUGGUGUGAAUAGCAGAGCCGGGGCUUGACUUCUAGUCUCUGCAUCGAGCAGUUGCUUUUUUUUUUUCUUUAAGUGACAAUAUAAACAUAACAUAAAAGUGACCAUCUUAACCAUUUUUAAGUGGAUAGUUCUGUGGCAGUAAGUACAUUGACAUUGUAUGCAACUAUCACCACCAACCAUCUCUAGAACUUUUUCAUAUCCCCAGCUGAAACUCUGUACCCAUUAAACACUAACUCCUCAUUCCCUCCUUCCCCAAGCCCCUGGCAACCACUAUUCUGUCUCUAACAGCGUGAUGAUUCCAUGGACCUCACAUGAGUGAAUCAUACACUAUUUGUCCUUUGGUGACUGGCUUGUUUCACUGAGCGUAACGUCCUCAGGGUUCAUCCACGUUGUAGUAUGAGUCAGAAUUGCCUUCCUACUUAAGGCUGAAUUACAUUCCAUCGUUUGUAUACACCACAUUUUGUUUAUCCAUUCAUCUAUGGAUGGACAUUUGGGUUGUGCCCAUGUUUUGGCUGUUGUGAAUCAUGCUGCUAUGUUUACUUCUUCUUUUUUUUUUUUUUUUUUGAGAUGGAGUUUUGCCCUUGUUAUCCAGGCUGGAGUGCAGUGGCAUGAUCUUGGCUCAUUGCAAGCUCUGCCUUCUGGGCUCCAGCGAUUCUCCUGACUCAGCCUCCCGAGUAGCUGGGAUUACAGAUGCCCACCAUCACACCCAGCUAAUUGUUUGUAUUUUUAGUAAAGGCGGGAUUUCAUCAUGUUGGCCAGGCUGAUCUUGAACUCCUGACUUCAGGUAAUCCACCUGCCUCGGCCUCCCAAAGUGCUGGGAUUACGGGUGUGAGCCACCGUGCCCGGCCGCUACGUUUAACUCUUAACCUCUAAGAUUCAUUGCCCCUGGGAGUAGUUGCUCUUCAAGGAUAACACAUGGCUCAGGGACUGCCUGUCACACCCCAACCUGAGAAUCAGCAGAGACUACCACGGGGCCCAUCAGGCCACUAGGCAGGUGCCACUCCCCUGGCAGGGAGAGAGGUGCCGGUGGCCACCGACCUCAUAGGGUUCCACAGCUCCACACUGGCAUGUUGCGGGAGGAAUUUCAGUGUUCAAUCCCAGGCUGUUUCUCUGAGUCUUAGGUUCUGGGAUAAACAAGCUCCUUCAAGUCCAAACUGCUCAGAUUAGACUUUACUGAUAGAUUCCACACCUGGAAUCCUGCUCCGGGACUGCAGUCUCAUCCUCCAGCUCCUGCAGGCUUCUUCUAAGCUGGUGGGUCUCAGCAGGGAUGGGGGUGAGUGGUACUCCACACCCAGGGGACACCACCCACAGGAAGCUUUGUGGACAUGUGAAGGGCAUAUGUGGUUGUCAUAAUGGUUGGGGGACACUGUUAAUAUUUAUGUGAGGCCAGGGACUCAGGUGACCUGCAGUGUGUGAGGCAGUCACCCACAACAAAGAAUUGUCCUGCAUCCUGAACCAAUUUCAAACAACCCAUUAACAUUUGUCUCCUAAGCUGUGUGACCUAAGUGCCACCUGCCUCCCCGGUUCCUCUCCCUCCCCUCUCAUGCUUAAAGAUAAGCCAUUUUUGGGCCGGGCACUAGGGUAGGCUAAGAAUUUAAAGAUGAAUAAGACAGAGUCCUUGUCCUCAAGGAAUUCCCAGGAAAGUCAGAGACAGACAGCGAUCACCAUGCAAGGCAACAAAUGCCAAAGAGAGGAGGACUGCAGUGUGGGAGCCGUGGAGCCACGAAGAAGCCCUGGGACUCUUGGAAGACUCCACUGGGAAGAGGUGGUUUAAACUGGGUUUUGAAGAAUCGAGAAGGAGAAUCAGCCAAAGAAAUGUGCCAAGAUGCCAAGCUGAGAUAAUUCCAUAGGGCUACAGUGUAAGAGACAGAUCCAGGAAGGUGGGUCCAGGAAGGUGGCAGGGCCACAUCCUGACAAGCCACUGCUGUUAAUGAUGAAGAGCAGGGAGCCUGUGCAGCCUUGGAUUUCAUGGGAUAAUGCCUCCUAAGGCCCUGCUUGGGACAUUAGGCACUCACCCAGCCUCCUGCCCAUGCCAAUGGAGCAGGGGUUCCCUCCAAGUCCUGUCCCGGAAUGGUUCUGUUCCCAGGGAGGAUAGGAACUCGAAUUUGUGGAGCAGCUACUUGAUGUGCCAAACAUUUGUGUUCUCUUCAGCAAGAGGAUACUUGCUGGUGUGCCUGGGAGACUGUCCCAGGAUAAAUGGGGAGUGUCUUUCUAGAAUGUUAAUUGCACUCAAAGAUUGGGGAGGGAAAAUCAAUUAGUGUAAAUGGUAAAUAACUUAAAACAUUAUUUUUACAUCACAUCAAUAGUGGAUAUAUUAUGGAGCAGAAUGCUAAAGUAACACACAUUUUUCUUAAUUUCAUUUAUCAUUUGGAAAGGUAACACGAGCUCAUGAUACAAAAUUCAAAACAUGUAAGAGUUUAGAAUAGGCCGGGUGUGGUGGCUCAUGCCUGUAAUCCCAGCACUUUGGGAGGCCGAGGCGGGCGGAUCAUGAGGUCAGGAGUUCAAGACCAGCCUGGGCAACAUAGUGAAAUCCCAUCUCUACUAAAAAUACAAAAAUUAGCUGGGCGUGGUGGCACGUGCCUGUAGUCCCAGCUACUUGGGAGGCUGAAGCAGGAGAAUUGCUUGAACCCGGGAGGCGGAGGUUGCAGUGAGCCAAGACCGGGCCAUUGCGCUCCAGCCUGGGGACAGAGUGAGACUCCAC
Molecule: long non-coding RNA, 8054 nt
Filed under: Homo sapiens (human)
Lineage: Eukaryota; Metazoa; Chordata; Mammalia; Primates; Hominidae
Description: non-protein coding lnc-CABLES1-1:5
Source: RNAcentral